This 499-nucleotide ribosomal RNA is filed under the name uncultured bacterium. RNAcentral describes it as "partial 16S ribosomal RNA". It matches the Rfam family "Bacterial small subunit ribosomal RNA", at positions 28 to 507 of the family's 1533-position model. The record is from RNAcentral.
GACGAACGCUGGCGGCGUGCUUAACACAUGCAAGUCGAACGGGCCUGUCUUCUUUUUUGGGGGUGGGUUGAGUGGCGAACGGGUGAGUAUCCCGUGAGUAACCUGCCCUUCGGUCCUGGAUAACCGCUUGAAAGGGCGGCUAAUACGGGGUGGUCCGGUUGGUCCGCAUGGGCUGGUCGGGAUAGAUUCACUGUUUUUGGUGUUUCGGCGGGGGAUGGGCUCGCGGCCUAUCAGCUUGUUGGUGGGGUGAUGGCCUACCAAGGCGGUGACGGGUAGCCGGCCGGAGAGGGGGGGCGGCCACACUGGGACUGAGAUACGGCCCAGACUCCUGCGGGAGGCAGCAGUGGGGGGGAUUGCACAAUGGGCGGAAGCCUGAUGCAGCGACGUCGCGUGAGGGAUGGAGGCCUUCGGGUUGUGAACCUCUGUUUCCGGUGGUGAAGGCCCUGUCCGUGUGGUGGGGUUGACGGUAGCCGGGGAUGAAGCGCCGGCUAACUACGUG